GACGAACGCUGGCGGCGUGCUUAACACAUGCCAGUCGAACGGAAAGGCCUGCUUUCCCUUGUGGAUUGCGGGUACUCGAGUGGCGAACGGGUGAGUAACACGUGAGUGAUCUGCCCCCAACUUGGGUAUAAGCCUGGGAAACUGGGUCUAAUUCCCGAUAGGACUGCAGGGUGGUGCCUGUGGUGGAAAACGAUUUUCUAGUGGUUGGGGAUGAGCUCGCGGCCUAUCAGCUUGUUGGUGGGGUAAUGGCCUACCAAGGCGGCGACGGGUAGCCGGCCUGAGAGGGUGGACGGCCACAUUGGGACUGAGAUACGGCCCAGACUCCUACGGGAGGCAGCAGUGGGGAAUAUUGCACAAUGGGCGGAAGCCUGAUGCAGCGACGCCGCGUGGGGGAUGACGGCCUUCGGGUUGUAAACUCCUUUCGACCGCGAGGAAGCCACCUGGUUGGAAGGGUGGUGACGGUAGUGGUAGAAGAAGCACCGGCUAACUACGUG
This 494-nucleotide ribosomal RNA is filed under the name uncultured bacterium. RNAcentral describes it as "partial 16S ribosomal RNA". It matches the Rfam family "Bacterial small subunit ribosomal RNA", at positions 28 to 507 of the family's 1533-position model. The record is from RNAcentral.